RNAcentral lists this long non-coding RNA (775 nucleotides) under Homo sapiens (human). RNAcentral's name for it is "non-protein coding OIP5-AS1:16". Lineage: Eukaryota; Metazoa; Chordata; Mammalia; Primates; Hominidae. The record is from RNAcentral.
GGCGGAGUAAGGCGUGCCGCUGCAAACUGGCCUCUGGGCCGGGGGCGAGCAGCCCCCGGGAGGCCGAGUGCAUCUGUUGGACCGUGCGAGGAGAAGAAAAAAAAUAUCGGCCAGAGGAGAGGAACUAACCGAACAUUCUUCCUCCCUACCUUAUAGAGGGGAGUGGUCAUCUACACUAAAGCAAAGUGUUAGGCGCGUCCGUGCGAAGAGACCACCAAACAGGCUUUGUGUUCCUUAUCACAGGAAGAAAAUUUUCCUUGACCUUUAGGUGCUUUUAUAUUCAUCUCAAAAACAAAAUUCUGAACUCAGGACUUGGCAAGUAAGUAAUUGUGGGCUAAUCGUUCCAAAUACUGUUUAAGUAGCUUGAAAACAGGUACAUAGAAGUGGAACAAUAAGCCGUUAGCUUCAGCAGAAGACGAACAUGAAAAAUGACUGUAAGCUAUUGAAAUUUAAGUUAAAUCUUUUAUUUUUCAACAAAAGAAAUGUAUUAAAUAAAAAGGAGUAAUCUUGAUCAUUUGCUCAAACUACCAAUAAUUUUCACUGUCUAAAGAAAACAGACACAUAUUUAAUUAGAUUGAAGGAAAUCAAAUGAUUAAAAAAUAGGCCUGGCCCGGUGGCUCACGCCUGUAAUCCCAGCAGUUUGGGAGGCCGAGGCUGGUCUCAAACUCUUGACUUAAUCCCAAAGUGCUGGGAUUACAGGCAUAUGCCACUGCGCCUGGCCAAGAUCUCAUUCUUUUUUAGGGCUGAGUAACAUAUGCCAUCAUAUAUAUGCACU